UGUGGUACAGCUCAAUGGCAGAGCACUUACCCAGCAUGCAGGAAGCCUUGGGUUCAAUCCCUAGUGCCACUA
RNAcentral lists this transfer RNA (72 nucleotides) under Mus musculus (house mouse). It matches the Rfam family "tRNA". Rfam says of the family: Transfer RNA (tRNA) molecules are approximately 80 nucleotides in length. Their secondary structure includes four short double-helical elements and three loops (D, anti-codon, and T loops). Further hydrogen bonds mediate the characteristic L-shaped molecular structure. tRNAs have two regions of fundamental functional importance: the anti-codon, which is responsible for specific mRNA codon recognition, and the 3' end, to which the tRNAs corresponding amino acid is attached (by aminoacyl-tRNA synthetases). tRNAs cope with the degeneracy of the genetic code in two manners: having more than one tRNA (with a specific anti-codon) for a particular amino acid; and 'wobble' base-pairing, i.e. permitting non-standard base-pairing at the 3rd anti-codon position. The record is from Rfam by way of RNAcentral. Lineage: Eukaryota; Metazoa; Chordata; Mammalia; Rodentia; Muridae.